GCCGGAGUAGCUCAGCUGGUAGAGCAACGGUUUUGUAAACCGUGGGUCGUCGGUUCGAGUCCGGCCUCCGGCU
RNAcentral lists this transfer RNA (73 nucleotides) under Actinomycetes bacterium. Its description in RNAcentral is "Actinobacteria bacterium tRNA-Thr". It matches the Rfam family "tRNA". From Rfam's summary of the family: Transfer RNA (tRNA) molecules are approximately 80 nucleotides in length. Their secondary structure includes four short double-helical elements and three loops (D, anti-codon, and T loops). Lineage: Bacteria; Bacillati; Actinomycetota; Actinomycetes. The record is from RNAcentral. RNAcentral also lists the same sequence under 2 other names.